UCCGGCUCUACGCCGGCAGUCUCUCUAGAGUCCCCGCCAUUACGCGCUGGCAACUAAAGACGGGGGUUGCGCUCGUUGCGGGACUUAACCCAACAUCUCACGACACGAGCUGACGACAGCCAUGCACCACCUGUGCACGAGCCCCGAAGGGCUGCCGUGUUUCCACGACAUUCCCGUGCAUGUCAAGCCUUGGUAAGGUUCUUCGCGUCGCGUCGAAUUAAACAACAUGCUCCGCUGCUUGUGCGGGCCCCCGUCAAUUCCUUUGAGUUUCACCCUUGCGAGCGUACUCCCCAGGCGGUAUACUUAAUGCGUUAGCUCCGGAACAGGGGGGGUUGAGCCCUCCUACUCCUAGUAUACAUCGUUUACGGCGUGGACUAC
Molecule: unclassified non-coding RNA, 378 nt
Filed under: uncultured Actinomycetes bacterium
Lineage: Bacteria; Bacillati; Actinomycetota; Actinomycetes
Description: uncultured actinobacterium contains 16S-23S intergenic spacer region
Source: RNAcentral